Molecule: ribosomal RNA, 492 nt
Filed under: uncultured bacterium
Lineage: Bacteria
Description: partial 16S ribosomal RNA
Rfam family: Bacterial small subunit ribosomal RNA
Source: RNAcentral
AGUGAACGCUGGCGGUAGGCCUAACACAUGCAAGUCGAACGGCAACACAGUAAGAGCUUGCUCUUACGGGUGGCGAGUGGCGGACGGACGAGGAAAACAUCGGGCUCUUCUUUUUCGUGGGGGAUCACGUAGGGAAACCUACGAUCAUACCGCAUACCCCCUACGGGUGAAAGCAGGGGAUCUUCGGACCUUGCGCGAUUGAAUGAGCCGAUGUCGGAUUAGCUAGUUGGCGGGGUAAAGGCCCACCGAGGCGACGAUCCGUAGCUGGUCUGAGAGGAUGAUCCGCGACAUUGGAAGUGAGACGCGGACCAGACUCCUAAGGGAGGCAGCAGUGGGGAAUAUGGGGCAAUAGGCGCAAGCCUGAUCCAGGCAUACGGCGUGGGAGCAGAAGGCCUUCGGGUUGUAAGGCCUGUCUGUUGGGGAAGAAAUGCAGCAGCUUAAUACCCCGCUGGUCUGACGGUACCCAAAGAAUAAGCACCGGCUAACUUCGUG